UGGCUGGCCGUCAGCUCCGAUAAACCGUCCAACACGCCGCCUUCGUCACCUGAGGAGGAAGGCGAUGAUUCAAGCAAACAACAUUCUAAUGGUGUCCUGAAGCAGUGAAGGCAGAGACUUUGGCACAAGCAGCCAUCAGUGAAGAGGACUGUGCAAAAGACAAAGUGAGAGUUGUCUCAUCUGUGCCUUGCACACAGGAGAACAUGGCCCGUGUGUGCAAUUAUCCAGGCCGUUCAGAAAGAAACAAGCAAGGGAGUAAACCGAUUUCAACACAUUUCCCGAGAGAUCCUGAAAGUUGCUGCUAAUAGUAGUUGGAAUGGACAUAAAAUACUCCUUUUGCAAAGCUGUGAAAGUGUUACAUGUAUGUGGAGCCCAUUUCCACAGCAGGAGAGGAACUGCAGCGCACGGCUAUGUCAUCACUGGUCCAGCUAACAGCAGCUGACGAGGGGGUCAAGGUCAGUGAAGAGAUGCUGAUUUCUGACAGAAGUGACUGGUUGAGAGGUAGAGGACAACAUGUAUACCCAGCAUCUUGC
This is a long non-coding RNA of Monopterus albus (swamp eel), 533 nucleotides long. RefSeq lists it as uncharacterized. The record is from RefSeq and is a predicted model, not a curated record. The transcript has 4 exons. NCBI's taxonomy places the organism in Eukaryota, Metazoa, Chordata, Actinopteri, Synbranchiformes, Synbranchidae.